CCUACGGGAGGCAGCAGUGAGGAAUAUUGGUCAAUGGACGCAAGUCUGAACCAGCCAAGUAGCGUGCAGGAUGACGGCCCUCCGGGUUGUAAACUGCUUUUAGUUGGGAAUAAAAGGGGGCUCGUGAGCCCCGUAUUGUAUGUACCAUCAGAAAAAGGAGCGGCUAAUUCCGUGGCAGAAGCCGAGGUAAUACGGAAGGUCCGGGCGUUAUCCGGAUUUAUUGGGUGUUAAGGGAGCGUAGGACGUCUUUUAAGUCCGCUGUGCAAGUCCGCGGCUCAACCGUGGAAUUGCAGUUGAAACUGGAGGCUUUGAGUGCACACAGGGAUGCCUGAAUUCAUGGUGUAGCUGUGACAUGCUUCGAUAUCAUGAAGAACUCCGAUCGCGAAGGCAAGUGUCCGGGGUGCAACUGACGCUGAGGCUCGAAAGUGCGGGUAUCAAACAGGAUUAGAUACCCGAGUAGUC
This 462-nucleotide ribosomal RNA is filed under the name uncultured bacterium. RNAcentral's name for it is "partial 16S ribosomal RNA". It matches the Rfam family "Bacterial small subunit ribosomal RNA", at positions 338 to 795 of the family's 1533-position model. The record is from RNAcentral.